AAAUUGAAGAGUUUGAUCAUGGCUCAGAUUGAACGCUGGCGGCAGGCCUAACACAUGCAAGUCGAACGGUAACAGGAAGCAGCUUGCUGCUUCGCUGACGAGUGGCGGACGGGUGAGUAAUGUCUGGGAAACUGCCUGAUGGAGGGGGAUAACUACUGGAAACGGUGGCUAAUACCGCAUAACGUCGCAAGACCAAAGAGGGGGACCUUCGGGCCUCUUGCCAUCAGAUGUGCCCAGAUGGGAUUAGCUAGUUGGUGAGGUAACGGCUCACCAAGGCGACGAUCCCUAGCUGGUCUGAGAGGAUGACCAGCCACACUGGAACUGAGACACGGUCCAGACUCCUACGGGAGGCAGCAGUGGGGAAUAUUGCACAAUGGGCGCAAGCCUGAUGCAGCCAUGCCGCGUGUAUGAAGAAGGCCUUCGGGUUGUAAAGUACUUUCAGCGGGGAGGAAGGUGUUGUGGUUAAUAACCACAGCAAUUGACGUUACCCGCAGAAGAAGCACCGGCUAACUCCGUGCCAGCAGCCGCGGUAAUACGGAGGGUGCAAGCGUUAAUCGGAAUUACUGGGCGUAAAGCGCACGCAGGCGGUCUGUCAAGUCGGAUGUGAAAUCCCCGGGCUCAACCUGGGAACUGCAUUCGAAACUGGCAGGCUUGAGUCUUGUAGAGGGGGGUAGAAUUCCAGGUGUAGCGGUGAAAUGCGUAGAGAUCUGGAGGAAUACCGGUGGCGAAGGCGGCCCCCUGGACAAAGACUGACGCUCAGGUGCGAAAGCGUGGGGAGCAAACAGGAUUAGAUACCCUGGUAGUCCACGCCGUAAACGAUGUCUACUUGGAGGUUGUGCCCUUGAGGCGUGGCUUCCGGAGCUAACGCGUUAAGUAGACCGCCUGGGGAGUACGGCCGCAAGGUUAAAACUCAAAUGAAUUGACGGGGCCCGCACAAGCGGUGGAGCAUGUGGUUUAAUUCGAUGCAACGCGAAGAACCUUACCUGGUCUUGACAUCCACAGAACUUUCCAGAGAUGGAUUGGUGCCUUCGGGAACUGUGAGACAGGUGCUGCAUGGCUGUCGUCAGCUCGUGUUGUGAAAUGUUGGGUUAAGUCCCGCAACGAGCGCAACCCUUAUCCUUUGUUGCCAGCGGUUAGGCCGGGAACUCAAAGGAGACUGCCAGUGAUAAACUGGAGGAAGGUGGGGAUGACGUCAAGUCAUCAUGGCCCUUACGACCAGGGCUACACACGUGCUACAAUGGCGCAUACAAAGAGAAGCGACCUCGCGAGAGCAAGCGGACCUCAUAAAGUGCGUCGUAGUCCGGAUUGGAGUCUGCAACUCGACUCCAUGAAGUCGGAAUCGCUAGUAAUCGUGGAUCAGAAUGCCACGGUGAAUACGUUCCCGGGCCUUGUACACACCGCCCGUCACACCAUGGGAGUGGGUUGCAAAAGAAGUAGGUAGCUUAACCUUCGGGAGGGCGCUUACCACUUUGUGAUUCAUGACUGGGGUGAAGUCGUAACAAGGUAACCGUAGGGGAACCUGCGGUUGGAUCACCUCCUUA
This 1541-nucleotide ribosomal RNA is filed under the name Salmonella enterica subsp. enterica serovar Newport str. CVM 21538. Its description in RNAcentral is "bacterial SSU rRNA". It matches the Rfam family "Bacterial small subunit ribosomal RNA". The record is from RNAcentral. Lineage: Bacteria; Pseudomonadati; Pseudomonadota; Gammaproteobacteria; Enterobacterales; Enterobacteriaceae.